This is a long non-coding RNA of Triticum aestivum (bread wheat), 1492 nucleotides long. RefSeq lists it as uncharacterized. Lineage: Eukaryota; Viridiplantae; Streptophyta; Magnoliopsida; Poales; Poaceae. The record is from RefSeq and is a predicted model, not a curated record. The transcript is spliced from 3 exons.
AUUCUGAUUGAUUUUUGCACACGGGUCACCCCUCUCCCCCAUCGCCCUAUCUCUUGCACAUAGUGGCGGCGGUCCAGAUCCGGUGGGACGUCGUCGACUUGCGCAGCGCAUUCCCGGUACUCCGGCUCGCAAGUCGUCUGGAUCAGCCUCCCUGACACCCACGACGUUGCUCUCCACAUCAACCCAGAAGCCGCCGUCCCAGCAGCCACUGCCAAGGUCCACUCCCCCGGGGCACCACCCGGCCUUCACCGCGCCGGACUACGGCGGGUUUGUGGCCGGCCGGAAGACCCAUAGCACGGACGUGCCCGAGAGGACGCAGCCUGACGGCCGCAGGUGCCAGGUCUUCUUCCUCGACCCCGACGGAGAGGGAUUCAUUCUCGGGUGAUGCUUAAUAUUGAAGCUCGUCGACUAGUAGUACUAAGUUUGUUCUCCGCUAUUUUGUUGCUGCAUCUUGAACUGAAAUGAAGGGAAGUAGUGAGACAUCGCCUUCAGGAGAGCCCAUAAUUGCAAAAUUUGUACCAACACUAUCAGCCGUGGAAUCUGUCAAUAGUGUUCAAAAUCAAGAUUUCAGCGAUGCUACCUCUUUUGCAGAGAUUAAUUCUCCAAUGGUUCUCAUUGAUGAUGCGAGUACACCGAAAAAGAAACAAGCUUGCUCUCAAUAUUGUUCUUCUCAAACCCAUGACUUCUUUUGAGUGAUUAAAUUGUCCAAGUGGCUUCUCUGUCCAUGACUUCUUUUGAGGGAUUAAUUUUUCUCUAAUUUUCCUUCCAUGUCGUAUGUGCAGCAAGCAAUCAAAUUGUAUUGUUUAUACUCAUAUUACCACAAAAUCAUCAUUUCUUUCUUAACAUUAAGGAAAUGUUAAGUCACAAGAUAUAAUUAGCAGGAAAUAACCAUUGGAGGGAGUAAAUGGCUUACUGUUUUGACCUACUUGCGCUUGAUUUGGGAUAGACGACCUUCGGUUGCUAACCAGCCAUUGAGCCAUAAAACUUAUAAUGUAAUAUCAAUACAUCAGUACAGCCGGUCGUAAGCUGUUUGCGUUACGCAAGUCUUCUUGGGAUGAUGAGCUAUGUAAAUUGAUAUAAAUGUUCAAUUAUUGUCAAGCUGUGAAUAUAUUUUGCUGUAUGAUAUUGUUUUCAUUUUCUCUUCACUGGUCUGACAUGUGCCUUUGUGCUGCAGCAUGAAGUUUUUUGCUGAGUGGUGUCUCUCCCAGAAUGGCUUACUGUUUUGACCUACUUGCUCAUCAAUUAUUGUCAAGCUGUGAAUCAUGUUUGCUGAGUGGUGUCUCUCCCAGAACAAGAAGCUUGAUGAGCAAGAAGUAGUAGAACUGGAGGGAAAUGCUAGAGCUUAUCAUUUUAAAUAGCAAUGCAUGUUGAGUGAUGAUCAUAUUAGUCCUUAAUACUUUGUCUUGCUGGCCAUGUACUAAAAAUAGUGCUACCAUGUCUCAUCAAGAUAUGUAUGCUUGUGAUAUGCUCAAUCUGGGAUUGUCCAGUCUGA